Oxyura jamaicensis (ruddy duck) is the source of this 2579-nucleotide long non-coding RNA. RefSeq lists it as uncharacterized. The record is from RefSeq and is a predicted model, not a curated record. The transcript is spliced from 2 exons. NCBI's taxonomy places the organism in Eukaryota, Metazoa, Chordata, Aves, Anseriformes, Anatidae.
UUAAUUUCUGUUCUGAAAAGCCUCUGUACCACCAACUGGGCUAUUAGCCUUGUAAAAGAUCCAUAUAGCUGACAUCUUGUGUGAAGGCUUAGGGCACUGUGCUGAAUAUGAGAGUCAUGGGGAGAACGAGCAGGAGAUGGCUGGGAAAAGGGAAGGUGGUCCUGUAGCUGCAAGGGAGCAAGUCAACCAAACAGAAAAUAAGGAUAUUCCACUUUUGUAAUUAAAAAUGCUGGGAAACGAGGAGAUCAGUUGUCAUGACUCUGGAAAUGAAUGUCUACAUAGACUUUUUGUAUUUAAAUCUGAUAAAUCACAGAGUUAAUGGUUGCAUAGAGCAUUUCUGGUUGGUGUGGGCUCUGAAGGCCAAGGCUAAAAAAUAUUUUAUAAACAGAUUCUUAUUUUGAGUUAACUCCCACCAAUUAGUACACGGGAGGAAGCAGUCUGUCAGAGAAGCAUCCAGUUAAGGGGAUUCUUAUGCUUUUACUCACCUUCCCUCGUAGAAGUGGGACUUAAAUGGGACUAAGGUCACUUUUCAUCUGCACCAGUGAAACUCAAUGUGAAUUGCUGAACUCAUGGCUGAAUAAAGGUGUCUUUGAUGAUGUGAUCCUUCACUUGUGGAAAACUCUUAGUGAACUCAACUACAGGGUUACUGAAUCCAGAGCGACUGUCAAGUUCACCACCCUUUGCACCACCACACUAUGUGUAAAACCCGUAACAGUUUUUGAUGAACUGGAUACAGACUCUGUACUUUGGUUAAGGACACAUUUAUACCUGUAUGUUUGAAAUCUUGCUCAGAAAGGCAUGGUAACUCUGAUUAGGCAGACCAAUCUCCAAAGACUUUCAAGUGACAAACUCCACGCUUUCCCCCCGUGAUCCCUUUAAAAAGGUUUGUUAAAUAGGGCAUUGCACUUGCAAAGCCUUGCUUGUUCUGACAUUUCUAAGUAAUUCAGAUUGAGUUUGAGUCUACUGGACUUAUGUAUUUGCAUUUCAAAGACUCUGAGAGAGCUGCAGAGCCGCAUAUUGGGUCUAGGACUUUUUUUUACUUAAAAUAAUAAUAAUAAUAAAAAAGUUGGCAAUUGUUGGAUGAAAUGCUGACUCAUCAGUGAUGUCACACAUUUUGUAACCUGCCUUGGUGUUUAAUUAGGGAUUUCUAAAAUGAACCACGGUGCAAAAGAGUGAAAAGCAAGGAGAAAUCUGACAGGAGAUUAGCAAAGGGACAGAGUUGGAUCUAAAGGGAAUGUUAUCCUCGGUACCUCCCCUAAAUGCGUGACUGCAGAUCAGCAGGCUGCAGGAGUGUACCUGCUUGUUGGGACCAUUUAAGAGUGCACAGGAUUUAUAAUAACCUGUCAGGUCUACUAUAUCUUUCAUUAGCUGAUUGGAUUUUUUUUUUUUUUUUUUUUUUUUUUUUUAGUCUCAAGUGAAGACAACACAUUGCUAAUACUCCUAGCCUGUAUCCUGCCUUGGAGCCAGAGAUAAGCUGCCAGAAGAGCUAGAAGAAGAGCUACACACAAUGGUUAAACCUAUGUUCCAGUAGCAAACAAUGAAAAUGAGGGCAAAAACUACGUUUUUAAAAAAAUAUUAUUAUUAUUAUUUUUAAUUUGCAAAACUGAGUACAACCCACCCCUGAGUAUGGGUCACUUAUCAGACCUCCAGAUUGUACUGGGUUCAUAUGGCUGCUUACACCUAAUCAACUAGUUGUGGUGAAAUACGAUGCCACCUUUAGCUAUAAUUAGUAAUAGAAUAGUAAACACAACCCUUAUUUAUUUACAUUAUUAUUUCAAAUACCAUCACUGGCAAAUGAAAUCAUCUUUACUCUUAACUUGAAUUUGCCAGUUUAAAAAUCUACCUCUGUAAUCCUGGUGUAGUGUUGAAGAGCAUUCAGCAAUUUGCUCACAGUGAUGGUUCCUGUAGACUGAUGGGAUGUUGUAUUAGGUAAACCCUUAAUUUUGGUGCUGUUAGAUAAGUAGUUUGAGCUUCAAACCAAAGCCUAAACAAAGUAAUUGCAUAGAUGCUCUUGUGCACUCUGUUAAAAUAUUAAGAUGUUUUUGCCUAUACAUCUUCUGGUCAUUUGGAAUAUCCCCGGAUUAUUAUUAUUAUUAUUAGUGUAUUAUAGUACACUAUAAUAAUGCGUAUUUACACGUAUAAGUUAUAUUAAAGGUUCUGACUGCUGUUUUGCCAAUUUAAAACUCCUCCUUUUUCUAAAUAUCUUGAUUACUACAAGAAUGAAACCACUGAUAUUUAGUUUUCAGAAAAUCGAGGGAUAUCUUAAUAUUAACAAAAUUAGACAAAAGGAUAGUACUCAGAAGAAAAUGUACAUUAAAUGAAUUUCAGAAAUUGGGAUGAUUUAAAAAAAAAUGUUUAUCUAAAUCACAUUUUGCAGCUUUACUAUGAGUAGAAAUUAUCUUCUUGAUCUACACAUUUUUUCUAAUCUUAUAUUUGAAAGAAAAUCAAAAUUAACAAAUUUCCCAAGAACAUGUGCUUCGUACAAAACUAGACGUCUUAUAUUUGUGUUUUUUGAAGAUUUGAUUGUUUGUUUAAUUACAGACUCUUGUGUUCCAACAUAAAGUUUGAAAAGACUUUUU